RNAcentral lists this ribosomal RNA (253 nucleotides) under uncultured bacterium. RNAcentral describes it as "partial 16S ribosomal RNA". It matches the Rfam family "Bacterial small subunit ribosomal RNA", at positions 524 to 776 of the family's 1533-position model. The record is from RNAcentral.
UACAGAGGGUGCAAGCGUUGUUCGGAAUUACUGGGCGUAAAGGGCGCGUAGGCGGCCUUCUAAGUCGAACGUGAAAUCCCCGGGCUCAACCCGGGAACUGCGUCCGAGACUGGAAGGCUCGAAUCCGGGAGAGGGAUGUGGAAUUCCAGGUGUAGCGGUGAAAUGCGUAGAUAUCUGGAGGAACAUCGGUGGCGAAGGCGGCAUCCUGGACCGGUAUUGACGCUGAGGCGCGAAAGCCAGGGGAGCAAACGGG